RNAcentral lists this long non-coding RNA (764 nucleotides) under Salvia miltiorrhiza (redroot sage). RNAcentral's name for it is "long non-coding RNA (SMIL_LNC009836)". The record is from RNAcentral. Lineage: Eukaryota; Viridiplantae; Streptophyta; Magnoliopsida; Lamiales; Lamiaceae.
UUAGCCCAAAAAGGCAAUUUAAUCGGCCCAAAUGAUGAAUUAAACUGGCCCAACGAAAUAUAAAUGGGACUAGAAUAAUAGCCCAUCAUAAAAUAUGCAUCAGCCCAACUCCUUAAUUAAAUCGAGCCCAAUAGAAAUAAUGAGAAGGGCCAAUUAAAUAAAAGACUGGCCCAACAAAGGAAAUAAUACCAAGCCCAAACUUAAAACAAUUCGAGCCCAAAGCAAUUAAAAUAAAAGCCCAAUCCUUUAGAAUAAAAUAAAAACCCAAGAUCAAAAUUCGGCCCAAAUAAAAAAAAAAUAGAGGCCCAAUUCUAAUUUAAAAGUGAAGCCCAAGUUUUAAAAUAAUCAAAGUCCAUCCUCUCUCUCUCUACUCAAAUUCUUGGUCCUUCAUUUUUCUCUCUCAAACUCGCCGCUGCCCUCUCCUAUCUCUCUCGACUCUCGGCCUGCCUCCAGUCGAGGUGUCGGCCGCCGCGGCUCCGGCGACUGGUCGCGCCUCCACAGCUCUGGAACUUCCGGCGCCGCUUUCUUUUCCUCCACACAUGUCAGACGCAGCAUGUCCAAUCGAGAACAGGAAUCGAGCCCUAGUUUCUCUCGAUUCAGGCGGAAAUCGUUGCGCCGCUGGGCUUCGUUUGCCGCUGCUCUGGCCGUCCCAACCGCCGGCGAGCAAUUGUUGAUCGCGCCGCCUCCUUUCCCUUCAUCGCAGAGCCCUAAUCGUCAAACCCAGGUCGCUGCUGCGGCCGCAUCCUCGUCCGAAAUCCGACGGG